This 1817-nucleotide long non-coding RNA is filed under the name Triticum aestivum (bread wheat). Its description in RNAcentral is "long non-coding RNA (TAES_LNC001054)". Lineage: Eukaryota; Viridiplantae; Streptophyta; Magnoliopsida; Poales; Poaceae. The record is from RNAcentral.
AAUAUCGCAAGUGAGGUAAUCUUCACACAACCCAUGUAAUACAUAAGGGAAAGAGUUACAUAGUUGACUUACAAUCGCCACUUCACACAAUUACAUGAAUAAAGCAUUACAUCAACCAAAUACAAUCAAGGUCCGACUACGGAACCAAAAUAAAAGAAGAACCCCAAAUGCAACAAAGGUCCCCAAUCGACCCCAACUGGCUCCACUACCGAUUAACUAGAACGAAACAACACAAAGGACAAGAUCUUCAUCGAGCUCCUCUUGAGCUUGGUUGCGUCAUCUGCACGGACUCAUCGGCACCUGCAAGCUGGUUUUGGAAGUAUCUGUGAGCCACAGGGACUCAGCAAUCUCGCACCCUCGCGAUCAAGACUAUUUAAGCUUAUGGGUAAGGUAAAGGUAUGAGGUGGAGCUGCAGCAAGCGACUAGCAUGUAUGGUGGCUAACAUACGCAAAUGAGAGUGAGAAGAGAAGGCAAAGUACGGUCGAUAAAAGUAUGAUAAGAAGUGAUCCUAAAACAACCUACGUCAAGCAUUACCCCAACACCGUGUUCACUUCCCGGAAUCCGCCGGAAAGAGACCAUCACGGUAACACACGCGGUUGAUAUAUUUUAAUUAAGUUAAGGUUCAGGUUAUCUACAACCAAACAUUAACAAAUUCCCAUCUGCCCAUAACCGCGGGCACGGCUUUCGAAAGUUCAAAACCCUACAGGGGUGUCCCAACUUAGCCCAUCACAAGCUCUCACGGUCAACGAAGGAAUAGACCUCCUCCCGAGACAUUCUGAUCAGACUCGGUAUCCCAGUACAACAAGACAUUUCGAGAGGGUAAAACUAAACCAGCAACAACGCCCGAAUGUGCCGACAAUUCCCGAUAGAAGCUGCACAUAUAUCUUUCUCAGGGCACACCGGAUCGUCCAAACUUUCGGUAGGCCAUCCCAGAGUUGCCCCUGGUGGCCACCAGCGGCUGACAAGUUGGACCAACACUCAGAGGAGCACUGGCCCGGGGGGGGGUAAAGUAAUGAUGACCCUCAGGAGCGCGACUCCCAAGGGAAAAGAAAAGGCUAGGUGGCAAAAGGUAAAACCAAUGUUGGGCAUUGCUGGAAGAGCUUUACUUAAGGCGAACUGUCAAGGGGUUCCCAUAAUAGCCCAACCGCGUAAGGAACACAAAAUCCGGGAACAUAACAUCGAUAUGACGGAAACUAGGGCGAAAAGAGUGGAACAGAACACCAGGCAUAAGGCCGAGCCUUUCACCCUUUACGAAGUAUAUAGAUGCAUUAAUUAAAUAAGAUAUAUUGUGUUAUCCCAACAAGUAAACAUGUUCCAACAAGGAACAACAUCUCCAUGUUCCAACAAGUAACAAACUUCAAUCUUCACCUGCAACUAACAACGCUAUAAGAGGGGCUGAGCAAAGCGGUAACAUAGCCAAACAACGGUUUGCUAGGACAAGGUGGGUUAGAGGCUUGGUUCAACAAUAUGGGAGGCAUGAUAAGCAAGUGGUAGGUACCGCAACAUAGGCAUAGCAAAAGAGCGAGUAGCUAAGCAAGCAAAGAUAGAAGUGAUUUCGAGGGUAUGGUCAUCUUGCCUGAGAUCCCGCAAGGAAGAAGAACGAGUCCAUGAAGAAGACAAACGGGCGUAGACGAACGGGUCCUCACAAAUGCGAUGUUACCGGAACCAACCCGAAGAAGCAAACACCGGAAAGAAGCAAACAAUCAUGGUAAACAACCACCACAUAAGCAUGACAUGAUGCGCAAACAAGUAUGAUGCAUGUCCGGUUUAAUGAGGCAUGGCAUGGCAAAGUGCACAAACAGCCCUACAAAUUAAGU